UGCAAAUACUAUUAUUAUUUGUAAAAUCUGCUCAAUGAAUUUUAAAUAGCCGCAGAAAUUAGCUGUGCUAAGGUAGCAUAAUCAUUAGCCCCCUAAUUAGGGGCAAGUAUGAAAGAUUUAACAAUUUAAUCUCUUUUUUUAAUAUAAAUUUUAAAUUAUAUUAAAUAUAAAAAUAUAUUUAUAAACUAAUAAGACGACAAGACCCUGUCGAACUUAACUUUUGUUUUGCUGGGGCAGCAAUAUAAUAAAUAUUUUAUAUUAUAUAAAUAAUAAUAAGACCCAGUAUCAUUGAGUAUAAGAGCAAGUUACCGCAGGGAUAACAGCGUAAUAUUUCUUUGAAGCUCCUAUUUAAAGAAGAGUUUGCGACCUCGAUGUUGAAUAUUUUUCUUUUAAACGCAAUAGUUUUAAAAGAAAGUCUGUUCGACUUUUAAAAAAUUACA
RNAcentral lists this ribosomal RNA (440 nucleotides) under Pimoa sp. SP74. RNAcentral's name for it is "partial 16S ribosomal RNA". It matches the Rfam family "Bacterial large subunit ribosomal RNA", at positions 1832 to 2600 of the family's 2925-position model. The record is from RNAcentral. Lineage: Eukaryota; Metazoa; Arthropoda; Arachnida; Araneae; Pimoidae.